AACAAAAACAACUUGUAGCCCACAAACAAACAGUUGAUGAGCAGCAGCAGAACCACGCAGGGGAUCAGUACCAGGAUCAACAGCGCCAAACUGGACACCGGGAGGCCCUCGGCUAAGUUGGGGCGCCCUGUGGCUUCUCUCUGCGCGUGAUGGUUAAAGACUGUCAGCUGAGUUGAGCUGAAAUCAAGGCUCGUGGUUUUCCUAAAUAUGUUUUUUCAGAAACCUGACAUUUCAAAGAUUGGAAGUUUAAUCGGGACAGUACCUAGUUAUGUCCGGAAGAGGUCGCCACUAAACCCCAAUCACAGGUUUGUAAAAGAGAAAUGCAUGUAUCAC
Molecule: long non-coding RNA, 333 nt
Organism: Triplophysa dalaica
Lineage: Eukaryota; Metazoa; Chordata; Actinopteri; Cypriniformes; Nemacheilidae
Exons: 3
Source: RefSeq, a predicted model, not a curated record